CAGUAGCCGCGGGAAAACGGGGGGGGCAAGUGUUAUUCGGAAUGACUGGGCGUAAAGGGCACGUAGGCGGUGAAAAGGGUGGAAAGUGAAAGUCGCCAAAACACUGGCGGGGUGCUUUCUUGACCAUUUCACUUGAGUGAGAUAGGGGAGAGUGGAAUUUCGUGUGGAGGGAUCAAAUCCUAAGAUAUACGAAGGAACGCCAACCGCGAAGGCAGCUCUCUGGGUCCCCACUGACGCUGGGGUGCGAAAGCAUGGGGAGCAAACAGGAUCAGAUACCCCGGUAGUCCCUGUCUCUUAUACA
Molecule: ribosomal RNA, 301 nt
Filed under: uncultured bacterium
Lineage: Bacteria
Description: partial 16S ribosomal RNA
Rfam family: Bacterial small subunit ribosomal RNA
Source: RNAcentral